This is a long non-coding RNA of Cercocebus atys (sooty mangabey), 1038 nucleotides long. RefSeq lists it as uncharacterized. The transcript has 3 exons. NCBI's taxonomy places the organism in Eukaryota, Metazoa, Chordata, Mammalia, Primates, Cercopithecidae. The record is from RefSeq and is a predicted model, not a curated record.
GAACACCCAACUCCCUCUCCCCUCGGUGGGCGGAGCUGCCGUGUGUCCCACACACUACUACAGAGGUCGCAGAAGGAUAGUGCCUGGGCACCCACCAGGGCAGCCUGAAGAAGCAAGACAUGCAUCAGGCCGGAGGCGAGGAGGAUCAGAUAUAUCCACAAGAGAAGAAAUUUUAAAUACAUAAAACAAAGAGUUCAUUUCUACAGUAUAUAAAACAACUCCUGCCACACAGUAAGAGAAAGGCAACUCAAGAGAAUAACGGGCAAGACUCAAACAGGUACUGCUCCAGAGAGGACAUCUAAAUGACCAAUAAAUACAGUACUUGAGAAGUUGCCAGACCUCCCUCAUUAAGAAUCAUGGAAUUGCAAAUUGAAAUCCAUGAGUUACCGCUGCAUGCCCACAGAAUGCCUCACGUCGGAGAAUGACAGCAUCAAGUGUUGGUGAGGAUGUGGAGCAACAGGAACUCACACACACUGCUGUUGGGAGUGCAAGUUAGUCAAACUACUUUGAAAAGUUUGCAUUUCUACCCAAACUGAAUAUCUGUAUACUAUAUGGCCCAGCAGCUUCAGUCCUAGAAGUAUGCCAAACGGAGAUACUUGCACAAGUCACAAGACACACGUAUGAGGAUGUUACAUAAUGAUGCGCCAUAGCCCCAAGUUAGAAACACCCCAAGUGGCCAUCAAUGGGAGACCAGGUAAAGGAAUUGCCAUAUGUUCCCAGAGCAGAUACUAUACAAUGGUGGACAUUGGUAGCCUUCAGCUGCACACAUCAGCAUGGAUGAAUCUCACAAAUGUGAUGUUGAGCAGAAGCCAGAUGCAAGUGAGUACAUCUGUGUAAUUUCAUGUGAAAAAUGCAGGCAGCAUGCAACUGUGCUUAGCAAUGCAUGCUUAGGUGGCAAAACUAUAAAGGAAAGGAGGCAAUCACCUCAAGAGGCAGGACGUCAGUGACCUUUGUGGGAAGAUGGCUGUUGAUGGGAUGAGCUGAAGGGAAGUUCCGGGGAGUCAGGACUUGGGUGCUGGUCAUGUGGGGUUUGCUUUG